Molecule: long non-coding RNA, 4664 nt
Organism: Ictalurus punctatus (channel catfish)
Lineage: Eukaryota; Metazoa; Chordata; Actinopteri; Siluriformes; Ictaluridae
Source: Ensembl
UAUAUAGUCAGUGUCACCACUAAAGAGAAGAACUCCUUAUUAUUAGAAUUCAACACAUCCACAGUUGUGAAUAGCAUUACGUCCUCGCCCCAGUACACGUGGUGAAGGAGCAGCUGGACUGGACCAACAAUAUCACAAGGAGUGUUUUCAUCUCAUCUCAUCAUCAAAUUCGAGAGGUUGAGAACUCCAUAUCAGAGGCAGGGCCAUCUACAAAAUAUCCAUGUACAGGUAGUGAUGAUGCUCCCUAAUCUGUACCAUUCAUGUGUUAAUGGUUUAUGCGUACUCAGAAACAUCAUGUUACAAAACCAAACUCUGCAAUUCGAUCUUUUAUCAUAACAUAAAAGUCAUAGUGUUAAACUGUCUGUGGGGAUUCCCUUCAAUUUACAACCUCACUAAUGUCCUUGUAGCUGAAUGAACACAAAUCCCCAAAGCCACAUCCCAAAAUCUAGUGUAAAUCCUACCCAGAAGAGUGGAGGAGGUUAUUAUAACAGCAAAGGGGAAUAAAUCUGGAAUGGGAUGUUCAGCAAGCAUAAAUGGGUGUGAUGGUCUGGGGUGCACAUACUUUUCCCCUAUAGUGUAAGCCUUUACUGCUUUCCUGUUAGUCUGGUCUUUGAGUUAAAAUCAGAGUGAAAUGAAUACUUUUGGUUUGUGUGUUAUUUGGUUUGUUUUUAUUUCUCAUCUGCUGCACUGAUGCUACACAUAUAAAACUUAUAUACCAUAAAGAGCAAUACACACAGUAUAUAAAAACACUCAAAUAUAUACAAAUCUCUCAUGCUGGAGGAAAAAGCAGAGGUUUCGUGGAUUAAAAUGGAUUCAUGUCAUACACAAUGCUCCAUGCAAUCAUACAAUAAGCACUAAUCACAAGUAGAAUUAGUACACGUGUUAAAAAAUAUUCUGGUUGGUCUUUUUAAUCUUUUGAUAAACAGGUGAAUAGUCUCAAUAACACAUUUACACCAGUCGCCCCUGUACAUAAAUAACUGUGCAUAUUGUGAAAUUUGACUCAUUUCUUUUAUUUUCAGACUGGUCAAAAGUAAAGACCCCAAGUCCUAAACAGACCUGUGGACCACAGCACACAGAAAGAUCCAUCCAUCCAUCCAUAUUUUAUACCACUUAUCCUUUUCUUCAGGGUACACCCUGGACAGGGUGCCAAUCCAUCACAGGGCACAAUCACAUACACACUCACACACCCAUUCAUACACUACAGCACACAGAAAGACAUGCCACUACAGGACACUUUAGACAUGCCAAUCAGCCUACCGUGCGCCCCAAAGAAAGACCAUAAAGGCCAUAAAUCUGCUAACAGCAUGAAGAAACCCAAUACAGAUAAAGUAAACCUUCAAAGAUAUCACCGUGAACAUUCCUGGCCAGAAAAGCCUGGUAGAUUUGUGUCUGAAGGCGUUAGGGAAACCUACACUGAUGACAUUGAGGCUUUAUCUUGGGCUUUAUUUAAUAAUCUUAAAGGUAAAGCAUCUCAGGAACUUAGGCAUCCAGUUAUUUUAAAUAAUGACACAUGCAUAAUAUAUGAUUUCGAAAUAGAAUGGGCGGGUAAUAAGUACAAUUGGUUAAAAUUUAAUUUGUUUACAUCUGAGGAUGACAUUAAUUGUGUUUUAGACAACUGCUAUGAACUUAAGUGCAGUGAAGACAUCCUGAAUGUGAUUGUACACUACGCAAGUGUUGGUGAAAAGGAUCCCAAAUAUUUAAUGUUAAAUGGCUGGAUUUAUAAACUGUAUCCAAUGAAGCUUUAUGUAUUUCUAGUAGGAAAACAACUCACUAGAAAUGAAAAUGCAGAUAAAAUAAAAAAAGUUAUUGAAGGACAGCAUAAGAAGUAUGAAUAUAAAGACAUUCGAGAAGGAAUAAGUAACUGCAAAGAAAAUAGUCAAGAUUUAUAUGUUCUGUAUGCUGAGUAUGCUCAGUACUUCAGAGAGACUUUACUGGGCAUCUAUACACACGGAACUUUUGACCCCAAUAAGGAAGCUUGGUUUACUACAUACUUUUUAGCAACAGUGAUUUCAGAGUCUGCAAGAAAUUUUAGAUCAUUUAUCAUCACACUCAUAGCUUUAGAUCUGAGUCUCAGCCAAAAUCUUGAAACCCAAAACAAGGGCCUCGAGUUUCUUUUAGAGAACCUUCCAAUGGCGAAAGGGGGAACCUGGAUAAACUCUGAUAGAAGGGGGUUUCAUGGGGCAAGCACUGUGGGAGGUGGGAAAAACACAAAACUUAAAAAGCUAAUAGAAGAAGAGGAUAAAAUGUUUGAGACAUGGCUUUCAGUCAGUAGUAAAACAAAGAUUGAUACAGAAAUGAUUAAACGUCUCCUCAAGUUGUUAUAUGGUGAACUCAGACUCAAUAAAGAUCCCUCAGUUCUAGAAACUUUUAUUACAAAUUUUAUAGAUUUUAAAAAGGAAUAAAUUAUUUAAUUCCUCCUGAAUUACUGAGAGGAUUCCUCCAUGAUUUACAACUCAAAUCUUUCUGCACAACAAUGAUGUAAGAUUCAUCAGACAACAUUCAGAAUCUAUAUCUGUACCUACAUGAUAAAAGCUGCUCACCUCUGACACCAUCAGUACAGACACUUGUCUGUUCAGCUUUUUCUACAGACAACUCUAAAAUAUCUAUAAAUCCAGAUGUUCUGUCCUCACUAAACAUGUGGAUUCUGUUUCACCAACACUUUAGUACAUACCCUGAAGAUUUAAGCUUAGGUCUUUGGAAGAAGAGGGGUAUACUUCACUGUACAGACCGGUUUAUGGCUGAAACGUUAUUCUGUUUACAUUUAAAUAAUUUCUUUUCUAAAUUUAUCCCACUGAAAUGCCACGUCUUUAUAGACACUGUAAAACAACAGUGCUUCAUUUUCCUAUUUUUUCCAUCUGAAAUUUUUUUAAACGGUUCAUUGAUGAGACCACACAACUUCAGCAGUUUUAUAUCUAAUGCAACAUUAAAAAUAACACCCAGUACAUCUCUAAAUUUAUCAGUAGCCUCCUCUCUGUAUAUCAUAGAACACUCGGAGCAGUGUGACAUAGCGUCUCUACAGACCAGGUGGAGAAAAGAGUUUCAAUUACGCUAUUCCUCAUUCUGUGUUUACUCCAGCUUUACAGAAUUUCACAGAAUACAUCUGCAGUCUGACUGUCAGCAGCUAAACUAUUCCAGUCUCUAUCUAAAUUAUCCCAGUCUGUAUGGAACUAGAAACAAUUCUAGUCUGUAUGGAAGUAGAAACAAUUCCAAUCUGUAUGGAACUAGAAACUAUUCCAGCCUGUGCAGGAAUGGAAACAAUUCUAUUCUUUGUGGAAAUGAUUCCAGCAGGUUUUAUUUCUGCUGUGUAUACCCCUCUUCUCUCCUUUAUAAAAAGUGAUUCAGGCUUUUAGAACUGUGUACCAUGACACUUUUCAAGAAAUAUACAUUUAUGUAAAAAUAGAUUUUUAAAAAAAUCAAUACAUUUAUUAUAAAUGUACUGAAAUUUUUUGACAGUGAUUUUAAAUAGUUGAUUUUAUAUACGUGGGAACAUUCUUCGCACUGUAAAGUGGUGCUAUCACAUAAAUAGGGAAAGUAUGAGUGGCUCUGAGGGGAGAGCUUUGAGAGGAACCGAUGGCAUUUAAGCCACGGGGGUCAAACUCGAAGUGAAGAUUCCCUUUUCCCCAGAUGCACUUAGUGCUCCCUACUCUCCUCAGUGGACAGGACUCAUGUCAGGUAGGAAAAGUGAAUAGUCCAUGAACAGUGUUUGGAAUAAGAGUCAGAGUUGUUUGGUUGACUAAUGUCAUAUAUAUAUAUGUAUAUAUAUACACACACACACAUAUAUGACAUUAGUCAUAUAUAUAUAUAUAUAUAUAUAUAUAUAUAUAUAUAUAUAUAUAUAUAUAUAUAUAUAUAUAUAUAUAUAUGUAUGUAUAUAUGUAUGUAUGUAUAUAAUGUGUGUGUGUAUGUGUGUGUGUGUGUGUGUGUGUGUGUGUGUGUGUUAAAACACAAAAUAUUUGGCCAAAUCUUACUAUCUAAGUGAGUGACUAUCAUAAGAUAGUGCUGCUGCUGCUGUUUCUGCUUGUGUUUUAGAGGAACCACAGAGUGAGGCGUACCUGAAGCUGUUGCAGCUGAAUCGAGAAAAGCAGACUGCUGGGACUACAGCUGCUCCUAACGCCAUACAGACUUCAUAUAAAUCCAUAAUGAACUUUUUCACACUAUCUGUUGUGACCCAGAUGAGGACGGGUUCCCUUCUGAGUCGGGUUCCUCUCAAGGUUUCUUCCUCUUUAAACAUCUUAGGGAGUUUUUCCUCACCACCAUCGCCACUCAGUGGCUUGCUCAGUUGGGAUAAAUUCACACCUUUAAUAUCUGUAUACUGUGUUGAUAUUUCUGUAAAACUGCUUUGAGACAAUGUCUAUUGUAAAAAGCGCUAUACAAAUAAAAUUGAAUUGAAUUGAAUUUUGCACCCUGCAGAUCUGUCCGUCAUCGUCGAGACAAGAGACUGAAUUACACACAAACACACACUAGUGACAACAUAAGUCUGUACACAUAAAUGGUUUUACAUUGCAUAAUAUUAUAUUAUAUUAUAUGUAGUUAUUGGUGUUUGGGGAUAUGUAAUAUGUAAUAUAUGUAAUAUGUCGGUGUAAGUUCUUUGGGCAUGUGGUGUUCAUGCUGUACAACGAUUAAUAAUUCACUCCAUAUUUCUUUUUAAACACUGCCUAUUUCCA